ACUUGGAUAACCGUGGUAAUUCUAGAGCUAAUACAUGCUGAAAAUCCCGACUUCGGAAGGGAUGUAUUUAUUAGAUUAAAAACCAAUGCCCCUCGGGGCUCUCUGGUGAAUCAUAAUAACUAGUCGAAUCGACAGGCCUUGUGCCGGCGAUGGCUCAUUCAAAUUUCUUCCCUAUCAACUUUCGAUGUUUGGGUAUUGGCCAAACAUGGUGGCAACGGGUAACGGAGGGUUAGGGCUCGACCCCGGAGAAGGAGCCUGAGAAACGGCUACUACAUCCAAGGAAGGCAGCAGGCGCGCAAAUUACCCAAUCCCGACACGGGGAGGUAGUGACAAUAAAUACUGAUACAGGGCUCUUUUGGGUCUUGUAAUCGGAAUGAGUACAAUUUAAAUCCCUUAACGAGGAACAAUUGGAGGGCAAGUCUGGUGCCAGCAGCCGCGGUAAUUCCAGCUCCAAUAGCGUAUAUUAAAGUUGUUGUGGUUAAAAAGCUCGUAGUUGAACCUUGGGCCUGGCUGGCCGGUCCGCCUCACCGCGUGCACUGGUCCGGCCGGGCCUUUCCCUCUGCGGAACCCCAUGCCCUUCACUGGGUGUGGCGGGGAAACAGGACUUUUACUUUGAAAAAAUUAGAGUGCUCAAGGCAGGCCUAUGCUCGAAUACAUUAGCAUGGAAUAAUAGAAUAGGACGUGUGGUUCUAUUUUGUUGGUUUCUAGGACCGCCGUAAUGAUUAAUAGGGACAGUCGGGGGGCAUCAGUAUUCAAUUGUCAGAGGUGAAAUUCUUGGAUUUAUUGAAGACUAACUACUGCGAAAGCAUUUGCCAAGGAUGUUUUCAUUAAUCAGGAACGAAAGUUAGGGGAUCGAAGACGAUCAGAUACCGUCGUAGUCUUAACCAUAAACUAUGCCGACUAGGGAUCGGACGAUGUUACAUUUUU
RNAcentral lists this ribosomal RNA (927 nucleotides) under Trichoderma sp. Its description in RNAcentral is "SSU rRNA". It matches the Rfam family "Eukaryotic small subunit ribosomal RNA", at positions 137 to 1072 of the family's 1831-position model. The record is from RNAcentral. Lineage: Eukaryota; Fungi; Ascomycota; Sordariomycetes; Hypocreales; Hypocreaceae.